Molecule: transfer RNA, 83 nt
Filed under: Myxococcales bacterium
Lineage: Bacteria; Pseudomonadati; Myxococcota; Myxococcia; Myxococcales
Description: tRNA-Leu
Rfam family: tRNA
About the family: Transfer RNA (tRNA) molecules are approximately 80 nucleotides in length.
Source: RNAcentral
GCGAGGAUGGCGGAAUUGGUAGACGCGCCGGAUUUAGGAUCCGGUGGGCCGAGCCCGUGGGGGUUCGAGUCCCCCUCCUCGCA